CAUUAAGUGACUGAAAGUAAGUAAUGGUCUCUUAAACCAAUUUAUAGUAACUAACGAUUACUUUUAAUGA
RNAcentral lists this transfer RNA (70 nucleotides) under Magicicada septendecim (seventeen-year cicada). Its description in RNAcentral is "tRNA-Lys". The record is from RNAcentral. Lineage: Eukaryota; Metazoa; Arthropoda; Insecta; Hemiptera; Cicadidae. RNAcentral also lists the same sequence under 2 other names.